GAAAAUAUAAAGAUUAAAAUUUAAAGAUUAAUAUUCAAAAACUAUGAAGUGAUAAUGAGAGUCUAACUUUCAGUCCAUUUUAAUUCUAAGCUAUGAAUAUUCCACCUUAGAUGAAACUGGACAAGUGAAUUAUUUCUAUGACAAUUCAUUCAUCAAAUGUUUCUAAAGAGCCUUUGAGUCCGACAACAGCAGACAUGUUCAGAUGGUGGCGAAAACUUCCAGACUUGCUCUGACAUCACAGCGGUCUGUGGGAGUUUGUUACAAGAUUAGCUGAGAAAAGACUUAUUCACCAGCACUGUGGUUGAUAUUCACAGUGAAAGACAACCGUCAAUGCCCAACUGCUCACUAUGCUAAUUUCUGACACGUCUCUGUGAAUUUUAUGCAGCAUCUCUGGUGACAUCCAGUGACCGGUGGAGCUGUGUAUCAUAGUGUAGCUUGCAUCAUCAUUGUGUGAAAGCGGUGUAUGUCCAAAUGUGUAGUGAUGAAAUAUUCAUAAUAGCAUGUAAAAAGCUUUAUAGUCCAUGUUUACAAGCAUUUACUACUAAAUGAAGCCACUGCAAACAUUGAAACCUCAGCUAUUUACCUCUUAGUGGAUUUAAGAUUUUUCUCCCGACUGAAUUAUUUAUGACUCAUUGAUUAUUGCUUUGCUUUUAAAGUCUUUAUGCAAAAUGUAAAGAAAAUAUUAAUGGUGUCCUAUUUAUGCUUCCUUGAACAGGUUAGGAUAGGUGUAUGUACAAUGGCCAGUUAGGGCCAUUGUAGAUAGAAAA
This is a long non-coding RNA of Xiphophorus couchianus (Monterrey platyfish), 767 nucleotides long. RefSeq lists it as uncharacterized. The record is from RefSeq and is a predicted model, not a curated record. NCBI's taxonomy places the organism in Eukaryota, Metazoa, Chordata, Actinopteri, Cyprinodontiformes, Poeciliidae. The transcript is spliced from 3 exons.